This is a long non-coding RNA of Mytilus californianus (California mussel), 799 nucleotides long. RefSeq lists it as uncharacterized. The transcript is spliced from 2 exons. Lineage: Eukaryota; Metazoa; Mollusca; Bivalvia; Mytilida; Mytilidae. The record is from RefSeq and is a predicted model, not a curated record.
GGGCCAAAAAGGGGCAAAAAACAAGCAUUUUUCUAGUUUCAUGACAAUAACUUGUGUGCAAGUCUAUGGAUCUAUCUGACAUUGUAUCACAAGGUUCCAUAUCACAAAGGGAAUGCUGGGAUUGAUUUUGGGGGUAAUUGCUUCCAAAUUUUAGGAAUUAGGGGCCAAAAAGGGGCAAAAAACAAGCAUUUUUCUAGUUUCAUGACAAUAACUUGUGUGUAAGUGUAUGGAUCUUUAUGAAAUUGUACUACAAGGUUCCAUAUCACAAAGGGAAAGCUGGGUUUGAGGUUGGGGGUAAUUGCCCUAAAAGUUUAGGAAUUUGGGGCCAAACAGGGGCCAAAAAACAAGCAUUUUUCUAGUUUCCAGACAAUAACUUGUGUUCAAGUGUAUGGAUCUCUCUGAAAUUGUACUGCAAGGUACCAUACCACAAAGGGAAGGCUGGGAUUGAGUUUGGGGAUGAUGAAUCAUAAGGGGGUUCAAAACAUUUGGGGGGGGGGGGAUUUUUUUUUCCUUUUUUUUUCUUUAAAAUUUUCCAUUUUAAAUUGGUUAUUUCUGAUUUAUAUAUAAAAGCAAAUAAUAAUGAUAUGGUUUGAAUAGGUAAAUUAAAAUUUUUUUAAGUUCUUAGACCACUUUCAUUCUGUGUCAGAAACCUAUGCUGUGUCAAAUAUUUAAUUACAAUCCAAAUUCAGUGCUGUAUCAAGCUUGAAUGUUGUGUCCAUACUUGCCCCAACUGUUCAGGGUUCGACCUCUGCGGUCGUAUCAAGCUGCGCCCCAGCGGAGCAUUUUAUUUAUAUUUAAG